UGGCAAACUUGCUGAAAGGCAAGGACGCAAAGCUAUAGGGCCUUCCCUCAUAGAGGAUGGUAGCCAGUUGCC
This 72-nucleotide non-coding RNA is filed under the name uncultured Eisenbergiella sp. RNAcentral describes it as "Cyclic di-GMP-I riboswitch". It matches the Rfam family "c-di-GMP-I riboswitch aptamer", at positions 11 to 84 of the family's 87-position model. Rfam says of the family: GEMM was predicted in a large-scale screen for bacterial structured RNA regulatory elements. Genes associated with GEMM are involved in a diverse array of functions, including chemotaxis regulation, signal transduction, secretion and chitin. Lineage: Bacteria; Bacillati; Bacillota; Clostridia; Lachnospirales; Lachnospiraceae. The record is from RNAcentral.